GCCAAAGUAGCUCAGUUGGGUGAGCGUUAAACCAAAGCUCUAAAGGUCCCUGGUUCAAUCCCUGGGUUUGGCA
This is a non-coding RNA of Gopherus flavomarginatus (Mexican gopher tortoise), 73 nucleotides long. The record is from the annotation of a RefSeq genome assembly. NCBI's taxonomy places the organism in Eukaryota, Metazoa, Chordata, Testudines, Testudinidae.